GGGGCGGCGGGGCCCGGGCCGGGGAGCGGGGCCGGGGGUGCCGGAGCCGCGCUGGGGGGCGUGGGGCUGCGCUGCCGGGGGGCGGCCGCGCUGUGCCGGGAGCGCCGGGCGCUGCCUUGGCGCAGGUGCCCGUAGCCCCGGUGCGGGCAGGGAGCGGCGCCUGCGGAGCCCCCGCGGCAGGGGGAGGGUUCGGCCGAGCACCGGCGGGUUACAGAAAAGUGGCGCCUGGUAGAAGCAAGAGUAUCACAGAAAGCUUUCUUCGGGGAAAGUACGGGUUCUGCUUUCAGGAUGGCUGCCAGGCAGAGAAUCAUUGAUUAAAGGGUUUUUUUGCUAUUACACGCUUUCUCAGAUGAGCUCGUUCGGAGAGUUCCUUCGGUGCUGGAGCUUCACAGUCAGUGAUUAACCCAGGUUUGGUGCAGGAUUUGUCCUAGUUUGGGCAGGUGCAGAAUGAGUCCCCUGAUACUGCUGAAAACACUGAGCAGAAACUUGAGGAGGAGGGGAGAUGAAAUAACAGUGAGUUCUCAAUGAAGCAAAAGCGUGGAGUUUUGUCCUUGUAGCAUGCCUUCCCUACUCAGAUUUUUUUGGAUAAGAUCCCCAAUUUUCAUCCAUUUGUCAUUUUCAUCGUUUGAUUCUCUCUGUUUUUCUCCUGUGUUGCACAACUGCAUGCAGCUGGCUGGGGAAAGCUGGCAGGCCUCAUGUGCAGAGAACAGCUCCCGUCCCUCCAGCUCAGCCAGCAGUACAGAUUUUCUGCUGCAGCGGGAAUGCUUGUCACUUCCUGGAGAAGAAAAUGGGGGCUGGGCUGAGGACGCUGCGUGCUGUUCCUCCCCUGGGGAUGCUGUUGGCUGCACCUGCCUUAGGCUGGUGGAGGUUGUUUCUGCCUGGCCUUGCUCCCCCCGCAGUGCGUGUGCAAGAGGGGACUGGGGGGCACGGCCUGGCUGUGGGCAGGAGCUGCUGCGGCAGGAGCUGGACAGGCCAGGGAAAGGCAAAGGAGAAGUUGUCCAAGGCCAUGUGGCUAGCAGCUGCCUCCUGCUGCAGGCACCAAAGAGCCUGCCCCUGCGGAUGGGGAAGGAUCCACCUCUGCAGCCCGCAGCAGGCCUGGCUGCCAGCGUGCACAGCAGGGUCUGUGCGUAACCCAAAGUGUAUUGCGGCCUCCGGGCAUACAAGGGAGCGAGGUUACGUGUCUAGGAGUCCUUGUCUUGUGAGGAAGAGCUGUGAGGCGAGACACCCACAGGUGACCUUAAAUGGAGGACAGACGAGCGACCGGGAGGAGAGAAGGAGAAAGAAGCAUCUAAAAUGUCACAUUUUCACAGUGGUACCAAAAGUGAGAGC
This is a long non-coding RNA of Falco peregrinus (peregrine falcon), 1329 nucleotides long. RefSeq lists it as uncharacterized. NCBI's taxonomy places the organism in Eukaryota, Metazoa, Chordata, Aves, Falconiformes, Falconidae. The transcript has 2 exons. The record is from RefSeq and is a predicted model, not a curated record.